CGCGGGGCAGAAGGACGCUGCACCGGCUCCGCCGCCUCCGGCUCCAACCCCGGUCCGAAGUCCCGCCGACGCCCGCGCGCGGCAGCGGUAGGGGUUUCACCUCGCCCGCUUGCGGCGAGGGGAGACGUCAGCAUCGCGCACUCCAUCCAGAUUCAAUUUUCAAACAGCCACGCAUGAUUGCUCUCGCGAUUGAUCGCGAGUUGAUCUGUUAGUUGCCCCGGACAACGAGGGGCAUGGAGCG
RNAcentral lists this unclassified non-coding RNA (241 nucleotides) under Hevea brasiliensis (rubber tree). The record is from RNAcentral. Lineage: Eukaryota; Viridiplantae; Streptophyta; Magnoliopsida; Malpighiales; Euphorbiaceae.